Long non-coding RNA from Epinephelus fuscoguttatus (brown-marbled grouper), 6879 nucleotides. RefSeq lists it as uncharacterized. The transcript has 3 exons. The record is from RefSeq and is a predicted model, not a curated record. Lineage: Eukaryota; Metazoa; Chordata; Actinopteri; Perciformes; Serranidae.
CUCGUCCGUAGUGAUCCAAGUGUCCUGAAGCCCCGACAUAAAAAGUUGUUUGGAAAAACCUCAUUUGAACUCUGUUUUUAGCCUCAUUGUAGCCUGUAGCUCUGACUGCCUCUCUGGGCACCGCGCUCACAUGUAAUGUAGUGUAGACGAGCAGUAUGGAGAUAUUUUGUGGUUUCAAUGAUGUGUUUUUGGACGUUUGAAUCUGGGGCGCCGUCAGCCUCCAUUAGGUGGAGUUGUGUUGCUACCUCCUCUCCCCUUGGAUCUCUGCAAGUGAUGUGAGGACUCUAAAACUUCACCUGAGCCUCCCUCGGCAUAUGGGUGAGUAGAUAAUGGCUGAGUUUACAUUUUUGGGUGCACUAUCCCUUUAAGGCCCUUCAUCACCUGUCUGAACUCCUUCAUAUCUACACAUCCUCCUGUACUCUGCAGUCCAGCUCACAUCACCAUCUGCCCUCCUGACCGCCAUGGGCUCUAGAUCCUUCAGCUGUUCUGUCCCCGCCUCUGGAGCUCUCUCCAACAUGACGCUCACAGUAUUGAUUCACCUUUGCACCUUCAGAUCCCGUCUGAAAGCACACCUCUUCAAGCUGCCUCAGUCUGACUUAAUUUAUCAACUUGUUUAGUGUAGUUUAUUUGCACAUACUGUGCAUGUACAGAAAAUACAGGAAAUGAAAAGAUAAAAGGUUGUGCAGGUUAGAAGCCAAAAAUGUCUCAUGAACACAUCCUCCCUUAUUAAAUAACAACAAUCAUACAUCAAAAUAAAAGGAUAAAAACAAUUUUCAUGACUGAAUAAAAGUUCCAGACUAAGAAGUUACAUACAUUUGUUAAAGAUGUACAACAAUAUAACUGAACUGUUUAAUUUUAUAAUCUGUGGAUAUAGAUAUUAGGUUUUUUUUUUUUUAACUGUGUCUUGUGAGGUGUGUUUGAGUGCUUUGAAAGGCGCCUUUAAAUAAAAUGCAUCUUCAUUAUUAUUAUUAUUAUUGUACAUAAGUGCAUUUACUGAGGAGCUGCACCUCAGCACAGUUCGGUAUGUGUACUGGAGUGUUUCCAUUUUAUGUAACUGCUAUUAUAGUAACUUUAAAUAUUUCACAUUAAUACAGUACGUAUAGUUAUCAGUCUUAUAAAAUGUGAAGCACAGUUCUAGAUCUAAAUACUGAAGAUGUGUUAACGUGCAUUUAGCUGAUUAUGCAUUUAAUAAUAAUAAUAAUAAUAUUAGGUCCAAAUAAGCCGAUCAAUGUUACCAAUAGCUCUAAAUGAGAACUCAUAAAUAUGUUUUAACACAUGUACGUCUACAUCAGUAAAGUCAUGUAAACAGCCUUCUCUUGUGUUGGUGUUGCUCCUCUUAAAUAAGAGAUCUCAGUGAACACACACUGAACACACACUGAACACACACUCUGAAACUUGGACACUCAGUAUAAUUUCUCCUGCAGUACUUCAUGUUAGAAAAAGAUGUAAAUACGUCCUCUGUCACUGCGAACAAAGUGCUGCUGAUAUCAUGUUGUGUCUUACCUCAGUGAGCAUCUGCUGCAGAGUCUGAUGUCUGUAACGUGUGUGUGUCCCGUCCUGGUGGUGGUUUCAUUGAAGCAGCAGGACGUUCUCCUUUAUAGCCCCCUCACCUCCUGCUGCUUCACCUCCAGUAGGUGGAGAGUCUCUAAUAAUGGCCCAUUCUGUUUGAUGUCACCUUAUCUGUCACCUAACAAUAGUCCCUGAGGCCCAGCUGUGUGUGUGUUUGGCUUCUUAACCACACGCUGAGUUUCUGACUGAAUUCAUUAUUUCUGUGUGUUGCUGUGGAAAAGUUUCACAAUCCAAACUUUGAAUUUAAACCUGUAGUCUGAAAACAGUGAUAACUUUCUUUUACCUCAUUUGAACCAGCAGGUGGCGAUGUGUCCUUUUGCACUAUGCAGCUAUCUGGCCAGAAGUAUGUGGACACACCUCUCCACAUUUCAUUUCAUUUAUGAAUACAGGAAGGUAAUUUGAAGUAACAUUAAGUGUUACAGUUAAAACUGCCCUGCCUCAGGUAAAGACUGGUUUCCAGCAGGUUCCUCUAAUGCAGGCAAGUCCAAAGUCUGGCCCGGGAGCCAAUUGUGGCCCGCAGACCAAUUUUAAUCGGCCCUCGGCUUGACUUUCAAUAUAUAACAUAUGUGGCCCUUUGCACAAUAAUGGUUAAUCAAGCAAGAUCACUUUGCAUUUUUACCCUUCACCUCACAAUGAUAGGACCAUCAUACAGUUUGCAGACAGGCAUCAAGCAGUAAUAAAUCAUUAAAAGAUAAAAAUAGUUGCAUUUGUCUCAUUUUUAAAAAAAACAAAAAAAAACAACAUUUGAUGCGAGAAUCAGUUGGCCCCCAGGCACUUUCACAUUAUUUUAUCUGGCCCCCUUCAAAAAAGUUCAUAUGGCAAAAUUGGAAUGACACAGACACAAGACAAUAAAAUAUUGAAAAAGCAAACCGACUGAAACAGAACAAACUAACAAAAAUAUGAUUAAAACUCUGUAGAAUAAAAAUACAUAAGUAAAAUGGAAUAAAAAUGAACAGGAGAAAUAAAGUAGGUAAAAAUCAGUGUUUAAAACCUAAAAAUCAAGAUUGUAAUGUUACCCCACAUUAAAAGCCAGAUUAAAAAGAUAGGUCUUUAAUUUACAUUUAAAAAUACAGAGAGAGUGUUCUCAUAUCCAGAGGUAACAAGUAGCAGAACAUUUAAAAGUAAAGCAGCGGAGGACCUCAGUGAUCUAACUGGAACAUAAAACGACAGAGAAUCUCUGAUGUAUGGAGGGGCGAGGUCAUUUAAAGCUUUAUGAACAAGUAAAACAACUUUAAAAUCAGUUCUAAAAGAUUCAGGUGUAGUGACUUUAGCAGCGGGGUCAUGUGAUUUAUUUUCCUUGUUUUAGGGUGCAUUCACACCAGGAUAGUGCGGGGGACUCGAUUUGAUUGGGCGGGGAAUGCAGAAAAAUUUCGCACCUUCAGUCGGUUCGGUUCACUUUCACACUGCGAAACAAACCGCCUGGACAACGUCACGUAGUUACAACAGCUGCUCAUUUGAGGGCGGUGUUGCCCGCAAUGACCACUGACCAGGAAGUUUUUUUCAUGAGGAAGAACCCGAGUCAUCGAUUGGCCACAAGCAACCACGAUAUAUCGUCCUCUGACCAUGUAUCAGUAAGCACCUCCUCACUACUCCGCGUCUGCCCACGAGACAUUUUCCAACUUUUUCUUUUUUUACCUCUGCUUCUCCCCGUUCGCACUGUUGGCUUUGUUUUUUUUUUCUACCCAAAAUGCACUGCGCUCUAAGUCACUUCCUCUCUUUGGUUCACUUCCUCUCUUUGGUUCACUUCCUCUCUUUGGUUUGCUGGAUAGUCUGUUUGUAUUUCCCACUGUAAGCGCAUCGCACCAGGGUUCACUUGCAAUUGAACCGAGACCCCCAUUUUUCAAGGGGACCAGGGUUCGUUUAAAGCGAACCAAAUAGCGCCAGUGUGAAUGUGUCCUUGUUGAUUUUUUUGGGUAGUCUGGUGAAAAGGGAGCUGCACCACCAAGCAGCUGGUGAUAAAAGCAUGAGUAGUGCUUCGGCAUCUUUCUGGGUCUGACCUUAGCAAUGUUCCGGACAUGAAAAAAGGAUGCUUUAAUGACCUUGUUAAAAUGAGAAUUAAAAUUUAAAUCAGCAUCUAAAAUCACUCCCAGGUUAGUAACAUCAGUUUUAAUGCGCUUGCUGAGGCCACCAAACACUGAGUGCAGUUUUUUUUUCUCUUGCUGCCUUUGGUCCGAUUAAAAGAGUCUCAGAUUUGUCCUCAUUUAGCUUUAAAAAGUUUUGACUCAUCCGUACAUUACUGUCAGUGAGACAGGCCAUGAGAGCGUCCAGGGCACCAGGGGCAUUUGGUGUGACAGAGAUGUAUAAUUACAAUACAAAAUAAAAACAGAAACAAUCAACAGAGGCAAAACAGCAGAACAGGAAGCUACACAGAAGAAGCAGAGCAGAGGGCUGACGUGGAGUGAAAUGAGAUGUAAAUCAGUGGUUACAGGUGUGUCCUUCCAUCAGAUAGUCGGUAUUCUCAAUUCAUGUUUUCCUAUGUGUUGUAUACACGUUGUAGGCUAAUACUGGUUCUCAGGUAUCGAGAGGCGCAGUGGUGUAAAUGUGUGUGUGAUGGUGAGAAGAGUGUGUUCAUGUCAUAGUUUCAUUAGCGAUGGAUUGGCUUCGUUUGGGAGUUUGUUAAUUUAUGUUUCUCGUGUUUGUCUCUGUUUUGUAGGUUUCCUUCCCUACAAUAUAUUCUUAUAUUGUAGGAAAUUAAUUUUUAUUUUAUUAUUGUCAUUUCUUAAUAUUUGAAAUAAAUAAAUUAGAUCUUAAAAUGUGUAAUCAAUGUUAUUGCUCUGAUGUAGUGUGGGAUCUCGUUCCAGAGUUCAGUGUGAGAGUGAGACAAAUGAUGUCUGACUGUAGCUGUUUCUGUGAGGCGCUACAGGAAUAAGAACAUGUGAAAGUGAUCUAGUGAUGUGUUGGCAUCUUGUGUUGUGACUUGGAAGUAGAGCAGGACGUGUAGGGGUGGAGUUGUUGUUUAGAAUCUGAACGUGACAUUUGAUGGCAUCACUAUUUGUGUGGUUUUGAAAAGUCGGGGCGUUCGAGUGUGAGAGUGCAGUGAUGAGUCCAGAGAGGGAGGUUGUGCCUAAACAUAACCACAUUAACCACAGUGCCGUUGAAACAUAAAGAAAUGUGAAGUUUCACCGUAUCUGCUUUGUAACAUGCAAAUGUAACAUAUCUGUUGUCUGCAGAAAAGGACGGCGCCACCAUUUAUUCUGGCGAGCGCGCUGCAAGAAGACACUGCUUCAUACUGAGAGGCCAAAAGCCAAAAUAGUUUCAGUUGAUGUGUGUGUGUUUCCAGCUUUGUAACGACAGUUAGUGUUUGACUUUUCUGCAUUUAAAUAUGAGAAUGCCCUCACACAUAAUGUCGCACUCAUAAAGAAAUGAUUUCACCAGUUGGGUGUGGAACAACUCGAACACCGACUGUGAGCCAGACCCUGCAUCAGUGUUUCAUCAAAUGGUGUGCCGUGGGAUUUGUGAUAACCACACAUCAUUAUUACAAUAUUCAUCUGGACCUAUACAAAAAGUUAUGAAUGAAUUUUUAAUUGACUGUAUCAGUAUGUUGUGGGCACCCAUUUCUUAUUAAAGAGGCAUGUUGCAAAAUGUAAUUUAAUUUAGUUUAAAAAAUGGGGUUCAUUUCUUUGUCAUUUCUUGGUCUGGUAUAGAGAUUGUUGUAUAUAUUUUUGUAUAUGUAUUAUUCAUUGUCACUGUGAAUAUUUUUCACUGUCUUUCAGUUAUCUUUGAUCAUGUGACCCAUCAUGUGACCCCGCUGACGUCCCUAAAAUGGCGUCCUAGAUGUAUGUCGAGCGUUUGGCUCGAAACAUCAGACGCAGUAUUUUUGGGACGUGCUAAAUGAAUGCACGUGAACUGGGAGCAUCAAGUGUGCCGACUAUCCUUCUUAACAACUGAAAGGAGAAAAGCCAUGAGUGGGACGAUGGAUUGCUUUAUUGUACGGAGCAAAUUACAACAAGGCACCAGCAAAGACGACCUACGACCCAAAGAAAAGAGAAAUAAAACAGUGGACAGUGUCACCAAAGCUCCCUCGUGUUGUCUUGUGUCGUGAUCAGAGUGAUAACACAUGUUACAGAAGCUGUUGUGCACAGAUAUAAAAACAGGUGUGCCUUGAGAUUUUGGCUUGCCAUUCGGUGUGACUUGGGAAUGAAAUGUUCAAAUAUUAUGUUCAGAUAUAAAGCCUGAGUGUCCCCAUGCUUUUGGCCAUUUGAAGAAUCUCAUUGGACACUUAUUUAACAUUAGGGCAAACAUAAAUCUCCUGGAGCACUGACAAUAUAUUUAAUUUACCUAAAAACACAAGAGACUUUCUUUGAGUCUCAGAUGUUUAUUAGAGUCAGUGUGUGAUUGUCGUGAGACGGUGAAAUGCCAAAGCGUGCUGCUAACAGCAGGACAUCUAGUAACAACAGAGUGUGUGAGAUAAGAGAGACAAUGCUCUUUCUCUGCUGCGAGAUUCGUCCCUGAGAAGCUGCAGAGAUCUGCGUUGAACAAACACGUCGUCACUGAUACGUGGGAGAAAGGAAAUGCAGACCAUCAUUGUUCUAACAGCCUCUGUCUCCUGACUGUGGAACACUUUAAACCAAAUGCAUCAGUUCAUGGCAGCUCUGGCUCCUUUAGUUUAAACUGAAACCCAACACAGUUACAGGCCCCACGAGGGAGCACAUAAAUCACUACAUUAAAACAAGUGGAACUUUGUGUCGAUGGUCAGCUGUGUUUCACCAGAUCUCACUGUGAAGUUUCACACGGGAUGAAGAAGAAAUCAUGCUUGAGUGACUAGAAACUGGAGGGCUGGUCGAGUGUGUGUCCCUGGGUGGAGUAGGUGUGAAGACGGAAAUAAUGCUUUUACUCUGAGUUGACCUGGCUGAAGCAAAUUAACUGUGUGUGUGUGUGUGUGUGUGUGUGUGUGUGUGUGUUUACGACUCACUGCGGUGCAUACAGAGGACAAAAACAGACACUGUUAGUGACACUCUGUGCUAAUGAUUCCUCCGUUCUUUUAUCUUCAGCACCUCUUACCACCAGUGAGGCACCAUCAGCAUCAGAGGGCCAUUAUCUCAGCAGAUCAGCCUGUGUUUCUACACAUGUGAGGACUCUCAGUGUUAUCUAACCUCUGACCUAAACCAUACUCUGAUCUUAACCCCCCGAACAGCCCUGUGAAGACAUGAGCAACGACUGGAAAAAAAUGUCAUCACUCAAAGGCUGAAACUCAGAUAAACCAGUACAGGGAUGAGGCUGACCGGAAUGAGAGUGAGGACGAUCACCAGCCACUGAGGGGCGUCCACGAGCACAGGCAGCUCCUCUCUGGAGCAGUUGAAGAAGUAGGAC